Molecule: unclassified non-coding RNA, 322 nt
Filed under: fungal sp.
Lineage: Eukaryota; Fungi
Description: partial internal transcribed spacer region
Rfam family: Eukaryotic small subunit ribosomal RNA (bases 1-46)
Source: RNAcentral
AAGUCGUAACAAGGUAACCGUAGGUGAACCUGCGGUUGGAUCAUUACUAAAGAAUUUGCAUGUUAUGUUGAUCGCUUGCCGGUUUGCAUACCAUGCAAAUUUACUCACCCCUUUUGUGAACUGUUAACCGUGUUUUGGCGGCCCUCCAAAAAUGCUUUUUUAAGAAAAUCACUUUUGGGUGUAUUUUUUUUCCAAAGUAUGGGCCGUCAGCCUUUUUGUAAUCACACCAAUGUUGUAUUUAUAUAUCAUGUCUCCAAAAGAUUCAUCGAAUCUUUGUUUUUAUAAUAAAAAACAACUUUUGACAACGGAUCUCUUGGCUCUC